CCGCCCUGCCCAGCGCUCCCGCCCGCCCUGCCCAGCGCUCCCGCCCUGCGCGGUGCUGCCUGCGGCCUACGCGGCCUCUGUCCCGCCUCCCGCCCCCGCUUGGGUCUGUCCGACGUCAGGGCCUGUGGCUCUCUGCGCCUCCCGCCUCUUCCCGCCCUGCUGUUCUGCGGAACCCACCCGGAAUGAGACGCCCAACAUGUUAACGAACUGGGGCUCCCCGCGGAGCUCCGCCUGGCGGACUAGAGCGGGACUGAGGCCGGCAGCGGACAGCGGCAGGCAGGGGACCGCCAGCGGCCCGGCCUUGGCGGCGGCUGACUGUCCCCCCAGGGGCCCAGUCGAGGAUUCUUUCUCGCGCGAUGCUGGCUCUGGCCCAGCCCUGCCCCCAGGGCCACGCGGAAAACCGAGACUUCUGGGCUUGCAGGCCCGGAACCGGGGGCGUCCUUGUUCCUAGAUUCCUAAUUUGAUCCUGAUCCCCUCUGCACCCCCCCCCCGCCCCUUGCAUACUGAAAGCAGCCAUGACUGAGAACUCAGUCCCUCUAGCUUAUUUAAGUUGUGGCUUGGCUGGAGAAAGGGACAUCUGAAUGACUAAAGGAAGGGAUGCUGCAAAGGGAAUGGGAGUUGGGGGCCAAAAAGCAAUAAAUACAUACAUUCAUUCAACACA
This 661-nucleotide long non-coding RNA is filed under the name Marmota monax (woodchuck). Lineage: Eukaryota; Metazoa; Chordata; Mammalia; Rodentia; Sciuridae. The record is from RNAcentral.